UUUUUUUGCACUUUGUCAAAAGCAGGCUCCGAAUUCGCCCUUAGAGUUUGAUCAUGGCUCAGAUUGAACGCUGGCGGAAUGCUUUACACAUGCAAGUCGAGCGGCAGCGCGGGGCAACCUGGCGGCGAGCGGCGAACGGGUGAGUAACACAUCGGAACGUGCCCAGACGUGGGGGAUAGCCCGGCGAGAGCCUGAUUAAUACCGCUUACGAUCUGAUGAUGAAAGCGGGGGAUCGCAAUGACCUCGCGCGUUUGGAGUGGCAGAUGGAAAAUUAUGUAGUUGGUGGGGUAAAGGCUUCCCAAGCCUGUUACCUGUAUCUGGUCUGAGAGGAUGAUCAUCCACUCUGGGACUGAUAUUCCGUCCUAACUCCUACCGGAGGCUGUGUUGGGGAAUUUUGGUUAUUGGGCAGAAGCCUGGAUUGCAACGUUCCGCGUGUGGGACUAUCGUCUUCUCGUUGUAAACUGCUUUUGCACGGUAUUAAAAACUCUUCUCUCACUCAUAAGGGUCAUUAUGGUCCCCUAUAAAUACUCUCCCGUUACUUACUUGGAUGCCUCUGCGCUUCUACCUAGGAUGCGCUCUUUAUUCUGAUUUUCCGCUGUUGAAGCUUGACGCAACCUCUUCUUUUUGACACAGGUUGAAUUCCUUUCUCUUGGCCUUGCUUAGUCUCCUUUGCAUUACAUUUCGGCUUUAUCUUCUGGUUUGCUCUUGUGGAAUUUCCUCCGUUUUCUUCUGAAAUGCCAUCUAAUGUUGUGUGUGCUCUCCUGCUCUUUAUCAUACCCCUGUGUACUU
This 789-nucleotide ribosomal RNA is filed under the name uncultured bacterium. RNAcentral's name for it is "bacterial SSU rRNA". The stretch from base 44 to 585 matches the Rfam family "Bacterial small subunit ribosomal RNA", at positions 9 to 546 of the family's 1533-position model. The record is from RNAcentral.